Passer domesticus (house sparrow) is the source of this 683-nucleotide long non-coding RNA. RefSeq lists it as uncharacterized. Lineage: Eukaryota; Metazoa; Chordata; Aves; Passeriformes; Passeridae. The transcript has 3 exons. The record is from RefSeq and is a predicted model, not a curated record.
GUCUGUGACCUAGGAACUUCUGACAAGCAUCUAUUUAGAGACUUCUAAGAAAAGCUUCUCACUUUUUCUAAGCCAGCAAAGGAAAUUGGCAUUGUAGUGAAUACCUAGCUUCAGUUCUAGGUUAAGUGAAGAAAAGUGUUAUUUUCUUAUCUCAUGUUAAAAGAGACUGAUGAUACCCCAUGAAACACUUUAUGACCUCUGAGAAUAUACAAGAACAUCUUAGGGAAAGACUGACUUGUCCUGGUGAACCAGUUCUGCAGGACUAUAUUUCACCAGAUAGUAAUGUCAUUUGGUAGGAACAGCUGAGGACUGAAGAUCAACAUCUUCCCACUUCAGCCACAUCUCAGAGAAGAUUUCCUCAGGCAACAUCUUAUAUGGUGUGUGUCUUGAAGUUCAUUUCAAUUUCAGAAAAGCUCAUUGGUGCAUUCCUCAAUAUUGAUAUGUAAGUAAAGGUACUUUCUUUAAAAUUUUAAUAUUAUGCAUAGUUUGAAGAUCCUUAUGUUAAGGAAAUCUUGGACAUGCACAUUUAGAGUCUUAUUUAGAAACUUGGAUUUUGGAUGGUUAUAUGAACAUUGCAGAAUGUCAUGUUGGAAAAAUAUUUCCUUCAUACUUUUGUAAGAGACUAGGGCCAAUGUUUUAAAGCUAUAUAUCAAAUAAUACAAAGGUGAAGUGGGAUUAUAAUU